GUCGAUGUGGCGGAAUUGGUAUACGCGCACGUUUGAGGGGCGUGUGGAGCAAUCCUUGCGGGUUCAAGUCCCGCCAUCGACA
This 82-nucleotide transfer RNA is filed under the name Candidatus Avigastranaerophilus faecigallinarum. RNAcentral describes it as "tRNA-Leu". It matches the Rfam family "tRNA". From Rfam's summary of the family: Transfer RNA (tRNA) molecules are approximately 80 nucleotides in length. Their secondary structure includes four short double-helical elements and three loops (D, anti-codon, and T loops). The record is from RNAcentral. Lineage: Bacteria; Bacillati; Candidatus Melainabacteria; Candidatus Gastranaerophilales; Candidatus Gastranaerophilaceae.